GAUCAUGGCUCAGGAUGAACGCUGGCGGCGUGCCUAACACAUGCAAGUCGAACGAAGCAAUCAGAAUGAAGUUUUCGGAUGGAUUUCUGAUUGACUGAGUGGCGGACGGGUGAGUAACGCGUGGAUAACCUGCCUCACACUGGGGGAUAACAGUUAGAAAUGGCUGCUAAUACCGCAUAAGCGCACAGUACCGCAUGGUACGGUGUGAAAAACUCCGGU
This 219-nucleotide ribosomal RNA is filed under the name uncultured bacterium. RNAcentral describes it as "partial 16S ribosomal RNA". It matches the Rfam family "Bacterial small subunit ribosomal RNA", at positions 15 to 216 of the family's 1533-position model. The record is from RNAcentral.